RNAcentral lists this ribosomal RNA (600 nucleotides) under uncultured Hyphomicrobiales bacterium. RNAcentral describes it as "bacterial SSU rRNA". It matches the Rfam family "Bacterial small subunit ribosomal RNA", at positions 11 to 657 of the family's 1533-position model. Lineage: Bacteria; Pseudomonadati; Pseudomonadota; Alphaproteobacteria; Hyphomicrobiales. The record is from RNAcentral.
GUUUGAUCAUGGCUCAGAACGAACGCUGGCGGCAGGCUUAACACAUGCAAGUCGAGCGCACAGUUUACUGUGAGCGGCAGACGGGUGAGUAACGCGUGGGAAUCUACCUUGAGCUACGGGAUAACAGAGAGAAAUUUCUGCUAAUACCGUAUGUGGCCUUUGGGCGAAAGAUUUAUCGGCUUAAGAUGAGCCCGCGUUGGAUUAGCUGGUUGGUGGGGUAAAGGCCUACCAAGGCGACGAUCCAUAGCUGGUCUGAGAGGAUGAUCAGCCACACUGGGACUGAGACACGGCCCAGACUCCUACGGGAGGCAGCAGUGGGGAAUAUUGGACAAUGGGCGCAAGCCUGAUCCAGCCAUGCCGCGUGAGUGAAGAAGGCCUUAGGGUUGUAAAGCUCUUUCACCGGUGAAGAUAAUGACGGUAGCCGGAGAAGAAGCCCCGGCUAACUUCGUGCCAGCAGCCGCGGUAAUACGAAGGGGGCUAGCGUUGUUCGGAUUUACUGGGCGUAAAGCGCGCGAAGGCGGAUAGAUAAGUCAGAGGUGAAAUCCCGGGGCUCAACCCCGGAAUUGCCUUUGAUACUGUUUAUCUUGAGUGCAGAAGANG